AUUGCCUCAGUAACGGCGAGUGAAGCGGCAAGAGCUCAAAUUUGAAAGCUGGCUCCUUCGGGGUCCGCAUUGUAAUUUGCAGAGGAUGCUUCGGGUGCAGCCCCCGUCUAAGUGCCCUGGAACGGGCCGUCAUAGAGGGUGAGAAUCCCGUAUGGGGCGGGGUGUCUGCGUCCGUGUGAAGCUCCUUCGACGAGUCGAGUUGUUUGGGAAUGCAGCUCUAAAUGGGUGGUAAAUUUCAUCUAAAGCUAAAUACUGGCCGGAGACCGAUAGCGCACAAGUAGAGUGAUCGAAAGAUGAAAAGCACUUUGAAAAGAGAGUUAAACAGCACGUGAAAUUGUUGAAAGGGAAGCGCUUGCAACCAGACUCGCUCGCGGGGUUCAGCCGGGCUUCGGCCCGGUGUACUUCCCCGCGGGCGGGCCAGCGUCGGUUUGGGCGGCCGGUCAAAGGCCUCCGGAAUGUAGCGCCCUUCGGGGCGCCUUAUAGCCGGGGGUGCAAUGCGGCCAGCCUGGACCGAGGAACGCGCUUCGGCACGGACGCUGGCAUAAUGGUUGUAAACGACCCGUCUUGAAACACGGACCAAGGAGUCUAACAUCUACGCGAGUGUUCGGGUGUCAAACCCGUACGCGCAGUGAAAGCGAACGGAGGUGGGAGCCCCCUCGCGGGGCGCACCAUCGACCGAUCCUGAUGUCUUCGGAUGGAUUUGAGUACGAGCGUAAAUGUGGGGACCCGAAAGAUGGUGAACUAUGCCUGAAUAGGGCGAAGCCAGAGGAAACUCUGGUGGAGGCUCGCAGCGGUUCUGACGUGCAAAUCGAUCGUCAAAUUUGGGUAUAGGGGCGAAAGACUAAUCGAACCAUCUCGUAGCUGGUUCCUGCC
This 873-nucleotide ribosomal RNA is filed under the name Aspergillus carneus. RNAcentral's name for it is "LSU rRNA". It matches the Rfam family "Eukaryotic large subunit ribosomal RNA", at positions 74 to 962 of the family's 3401-position model. The record is from RNAcentral. Lineage: Eukaryota; Fungi; Ascomycota; Eurotiomycetes; Eurotiales; Aspergillaceae.